Long non-coding RNA from Ailuropoda melanoleuca (giant panda), 1489 nucleotides. RefSeq lists it as uncharacterized. The transcript has 3 exons. The record is from RefSeq and is a predicted model, not a curated record. NCBI's taxonomy places the organism in Eukaryota, Metazoa, Chordata, Mammalia, Carnivora, Ursidae.
CACCUGCAAGGGACUGGGUUAGGAUCAUUGUGUUCCCCAGUUCACCUCAGUGAAUUGCAGAGAUAGGUUUGUAGGUGCUUCCAGAAAAGCUUUUCCAGGAGAACUUCCAGAAGAGAUUCACGCUCCCUCUGGACAUGAUUAAGCUUGGAUAUGAGGAGAACAUCAUAAAAAACAGCGCAGAGCUUCCCAUUUGACGAACACUUAGAGAUUCCGGGAGAAUGACAUGCUCAGAGAGCAUGGAAGCUCCGUGCCCCUUCCCAGGUGCCGUGUGAAGACUUCAGUGAAGGAAAGAAAGAAAGAAGGAAAGGAAAAAAGAAGGUUCAGAUGGAAACUAAUACAAGGGGACGUGAUAUUGUGCAAGCCACUGCUUCAAGCUGGGCCUUGAGGAGACACAGCUAGUCACAGUGUAGGAGUGUUGUCACAGUUACUUUACACUGGACAAACUCUACAGAGAAACUGCCUCAGAGCAGUUUGGGAGGAAAUUCUCUCCUUUCUCUUUCUGUCUGUCUCUCUCUUUUUAGAUGUUUUAGGAUUUUAAUGUCCUCCACAUAUUCAACAUAAAACACUGACAGUGGAUAAACAAUAAGGGAAAAGAAUCUUUAGCAAAGAUCUUCCAGAACUUAUAGUAUCAUUCUGAAGGUCAAACACUAUAAAGAGAACCAUCAAAUGAACAAAGGAUAAGGAAGUUUGACAGAGAAUUUUAGUUCAACGGCUUAACUAAAAAAGAACCAAACAUACAGCCUUCUCUCUUCUAUCAGUUGGAAGAAAGCAAAAGUGAAUCAGAGAACUGUAUCUUUUUUGUGAAGCAGCUUAAAAGGUGGGGUGGGAAAGGGUGGGAUGGGGACCACAACUGUUGCUAAUGUAAUGUUAUAAUGCACAAAGUCAAGGAUUCUGAGAACUGUAUUACUAGAAAUAUAAAUGCAUAAAAAUGUAAACUAAUUGGUAUUGAAAACAGACCUUGCUAUAUACACGUAUGUCUCUUUUAUCUCUUUAUGAAAAUAACAGGGUAAAGAAAGUUCCCCAGUUUGCCCUUUAGCCUGGAACUCCUAAACACACACCACACAGGCAGUGUGGACCUGAAUUAACAGGUGCAGAACCCAGGAGCCCCCACUGCUAUCAUUUUGGAAAGGAUCAAAAUUCAGCACCCAGAGGACCCCAUUCACCCUCCAUGCUGUGUGUUUGUGUAUCUCCAAAAGCAAUUAGCUACAAUUUGCAUAAUUAAGUUCACAGACAAGUUUGAAUACUGAAAUCUAGCUAGGAAAAAAUAGCAACAAAGACAUUAAAAAAAAAAAAGUAAAGACAACAUAAGCUAGAAUUUGUUAGAAAAGCAAAAGGAAGAUUUUUAAAAUCCAGUUGAAGUCAGAAUUAAGGUGUCUUUUGGGGGGGCGCCUGGGUGGCACAGCGGUUAGGCGUCUGCCUUCGGCUCAGGGCGUGAUCCCGGCAUUGUGGGAUCGAGCCCCACAUCAGGCUCCUCUGCUGUGAGCCUGCC